UCCCAGGUGGCUUGAAUGGUAAAGAAUCUGCCUAUAAUGCAGGAGACCAGGGUUCGAUCCCUGGGUUGGGAA
RNAcentral lists this transfer RNA (72 nucleotides) under Capra hircus (goat). It matches the Rfam family "tRNA". From Rfam's summary of the family: Transfer RNA (tRNA) molecules are approximately 80 nucleotides in length. Their secondary structure includes four short double-helical elements and three loops (D, anti-codon, and T loops). RNAcentral also lists the same sequence under 1 other name. Lineage: Eukaryota; Metazoa; Chordata; Mammalia; Artiodactyla; Bovidae. The record is from Rfam by way of RNAcentral.